CCUACGGGAGGCAGCAGUGGGGAAUAUUGCACAAUGGGGGAAACCCUGAUGCAGCGACGCCGCGUGAGUGAAGAAGUAUUUCGGUACGUAAAGCUCUAUCAGCAGGGAAGAAAAUGACGGUACCUGACUAAGAAGCCCCGGCUAACUACGUGCCAGCAGCCGCGGUAAUACGUAGGGGGCAAGCGUUAUCCGAAUUUACUGGGUGUAAAGGGAGCGUAGACGGCAGCGCAAGUCUGGAGUGAAAUCCCAUGGCUUAACCAUGGAACUGCUUUGGAAACUGUGCAGCUAGAGUGCAGGAGAGGUAAGUGGAAUUCCUAGUGUAGCGGUGAAAUGCGUAGAUAUUAGGAGGAACACCAGUGGCGAAGGCGGCUUACUGGACUGUAACUGACGUUGAGGCUCGAAAGCGUGGGGAGCAAACAGGAUUAGAUACCCCAGUAGUC
Molecule: ribosomal RNA, 440 nt
Filed under: uncultured bacterium
Lineage: Bacteria
Description: partial 16S ribosomal RNA
Rfam family: Bacterial small subunit ribosomal RNA
Source: RNAcentral